RNAcentral lists this ribosomal RNA (406 nucleotides) under uncultured bacterium. RNAcentral describes it as "partial 16S ribosomal RNA". It matches the Rfam family "Bacterial small subunit ribosomal RNA", at positions 30 to 526 of the family's 1533-position model. The record is from RNAcentral.
AUUGAACGCUGGCGGCAGGCUUAACACAUGCAAGUCGAGCGAGCGGCGGACGGGUGAGUAAUGUCUGGGAAACUGCCUGAUGGAGGGGGAUAACUACUGGAAACUGUAGCUAAUACCGCAUACCAUCGGAUGUGCCCAGAUGGGAUUAGCUAGUUGGUGGGGUAAUGGCUCACCUAGGCGACGAUCCCUAGCUGGUCUGAGAGGAUGACCAGCCACACUGGAACUGAGACACGGUCCAGACUCCUACGGGAGGCAGCAGUGGGGAAUAUUGCGCAAUGGGCGCAAGCCUGAUGCAGCCAUGCCGCGUGAGUGAAGAAGGCCUUCGGGUUGUAAAGUACUUUCGGUGGGGAGGCGUUACCUGCAGAAGAAGCACCGGCUAACUCCGUGCCAGCAGCCGCGGUAAUAC